GACGAACGCUGGCGGCGUGCUUAACACAUGCAAGUCGAACGGAAAGGUCCAGCUUUUGAGGGGCACUCGAGUGGCGAACGGGUGAGUAACACGUGAGUCACCUGCCCUUGACAUUGGGAUAACUUCCGGAAACUGGGGCUAAUACCGGAUAGGAGCUCCUGCUGAAUGGUGGGGGUUGGAAGGUUUCGGCGGUUGGGGAUGGAUUCUCGGCGUAUCAGUUUGUUGGUGGGGUAGUGGCUUAUUAAGGCUUUGGCGGGUAGGCGGCCUGACAGAGUGACCGGCCAGAUUGGGAGGGAGAUACAGACCGGACUCAUGCGGGAGGCAGCAGUGAGGGAUAAUGCACGAUGGGCGGAAGACUGAUGCAGCAACGCAGAGUGCAGGAUGAAGGCAGUCGGGUUGUAUACCGAUUUCGCCUGUGGAGAAGAGUGAGUGACAGUAAUGGAUAGAGAAGCACCGGCUAACUACGUG
Molecule: ribosomal RNA, 468 nt
Filed under: uncultured bacterium
Lineage: Bacteria
Description: partial 16S ribosomal RNA
Rfam family: Bacterial small subunit ribosomal RNA
Source: RNAcentral